UACGUAGGGUGCGAGCGUUGUCCGGAAUUAUUGGGCGUAAAGAGCUUGUAGGCGGUUUGUCGCGUCUGCUGUGAAAAUCCGGGGCUCAACCCCGGACUUGCAGUGGGUAUGGGCAGACUAGAGUGUGGUAGGGGAGACUGGAAUUCCUGGUGUAGCGGUGAAAUGCGCAGAUAUCAGGAGGAACACCAAUGGCGAAGGCAGGUCUCUGGGCAGUUACUGACGCUGAGGAGCGAAAGCAUGGGUAGCGAACAGGAUUAGAUA
RNAcentral lists this ribosomal RNA (261 nucleotides) under uncultured prokaryote. Its description in RNAcentral is "partial 16S ribosomal RNA". It matches the Rfam family "Bacterial small subunit ribosomal RNA", at positions 524 to 784 of the family's 1533-position model. The record is from RNAcentral.